GCGCUCGCUUUGGCAGCACAUAUACUAAAAUUGGAACAAUACCCAGAAGAUUAGCAUGGCCCCUGUGCAAGGAUGACACGCAAAUUCGUGAAGCAUUCCAUAUUUUU
Molecule: small nuclear RNA, 107 nt
Filed under: Cervus elaphus hippelaphus
Lineage: Eukaryota; Metazoa; Chordata; Mammalia; Artiodactyla; Cervidae
Source: RNAcentral